GUCUUCAUAUUGGCAACACACAUUCUAUAUUUGAAGCAAUACACAGAAGAUUAGCCUGGCCCCUAAGCAAAAUGGCAGUCAAAUCCAUAAAUCACUUCAUACUUUU
Molecule: small nuclear RNA, 106 nt
Filed under: Carlito syrichta (Philippine tarsier)
Lineage: Eukaryota; Metazoa; Chordata; Mammalia; Primates; Tarsiidae
Source: RNAcentral